Molecule: ribosomal RNA, 255 nt
Filed under: uncultured bacterium
Lineage: Bacteria
Description: partial 16S ribosomal RNA
Rfam family: Bacterial small subunit ribosomal RNA
Source: RNAcentral
UACAGAGGGUGCGAGCGUUGUUCGGAAUUACUGGGCGUAAAGCGCGCGCAGGCGGCCCUUUAAGUCUACCCGUGAAAUGCCGGAGCUCAACUCCGUGCACGCCGGGGGAUCCUGGAGGGCUGGAGACGAGUAGAGGCAAGCGGAAUUCCGGGUGUAGCGGUGGAAUGCGUAGAGAUCCGGAAGAACACCGGAGGCGAAGGCGGCUUGCUGGGCUUGGUCUGACGCUGAGGGACGAAAGCCAGGGUAGCGAACGGG